RNAcentral lists this transfer RNA (71 nucleotides) under Candidatus Microgenomates bacterium. RNAcentral's name for it is "tRNA-Trp". It matches the Rfam family "tRNA". From Rfam's summary of the family: Transfer RNA (tRNA) molecules are approximately 80 nucleotides in length. Their secondary structure includes four short double-helical elements and three loops (D, anti-codon, and T loops). Further hydrogen bonds mediate the characteristic L-shaped molecular structure. tRNAs have two regions of fundamental functional importance: the anti-codon, which is responsible for specific mRNA codon recognition, and the 3' end, to which the tRNAs corresponding amino acid is attached (by aminoacyl-tRNA synthetases). tRNAs cope with the degeneracy of the genetic code in two manners: having more than one tRNA (with a specific anti-codon) for a particular amino acid; and 'wobble' base-pairing, i.e. permitting non-standard base-pairing at the 3rd anti-codon position. Lineage: Bacteria; Candidatus Microgenomatota. The record is from RNAcentral.
AGGGGCGUCGAUCAGUGGUAGGUCGGUUCUCUCCAAAAGAACAAACGUAGGUUCGAUUCCUACCGCCCCUG